GAUGAACGCUGGCGGCGUGCUUAACACAUGCAAGUCGAACGAUGAAGCUGGAGCUUGCUCUGGUGGAUUAGUGGCGAACGGGUGAGUAACACGUGAGCAACCUGCCCCUGACUCUGGGAUAACAGCCGGAAACGGCUGCUAAUACCGGAUAUGCACCAUGAACGCAUGUUCUGUGGUGGGAAAGAUUUUUCGGUUGGGGAUGGGCUCGCGGCCUAUCAGCUUGUUGGUGAGGUAAUGGCUCACCAAGGCGUCGACGGGUAGCCGGCCUGAGAGGGUGACCGGCCACACUGGGACUGAGACACGGCCCAGACUCCUACGGGAGGCAGCAGUGGGGAAUAUUGCACAAUGGGCGAAAGCCUGAUGCAGCAACGCCGCGUGAGGGAUGACGGCCUUCGGGUUGGAAACCUCUUUUAGCAGGGAAGAAGCGAGAGUGACGGUACCUGCAGAAAAAGCGCCGGCUAACUACGUG
RNAcentral lists this ribosomal RNA (469 nucleotides) under uncultured bacterium. RNAcentral describes it as "partial 16S ribosomal RNA". It matches the Rfam family "Bacterial small subunit ribosomal RNA", at positions 28 to 507 of the family's 1533-position model. The record is from RNAcentral.